RNAcentral lists this ribosomal RNA (1102 nucleotides) under uncultured bacterium. Its description in RNAcentral is "bacterial SSU rRNA". It matches the Rfam family "Bacterial small subunit ribosomal RNA", at positions 321 to 1439 of the family's 1533-position model. The record is from RNAcentral.
GAGACACGGCCCAGACUCCUACGGGAGGCAGCAGUGGGGAAUUUUCCGCAAUGGGCGAAAGCCUGACGGAGCAACGCCGCGUGAGGGACGAAGGCCUCUGGGCUGUAAACCUCUUUUCUCAAGGAAGAAGAUAUGACGGUACUUGAGGAAUAAGCCACGGCUAAUUCCGUGCCAGCAGCCGCGGUAAUACGGGAGUGGCAAGCGUUAUCCGGAAUUAUUGGGCGUAAAGCGUCCGCAGGCGGCUUCUCAAGUCUGCUGUUAAAGCGUGGAGCUUAACUCCAUCAUGGCAGUGGAAACUGAAAGGCUUGAGUAUGGUAGGGGCAGAGGGAAUUCCCGGUGUAGCGGUGAAAUGCGUAGAUAUCGGGAAGAACACCAGUGGCGAAGGCGCUCUGCUGGGCCAUUACUGACGCUCAUGGACGAAAGCCAGGGGAGCGAAAGGAUUAGAUACCCCUGUAGUCCUGGCCGUAAACGAUGAACACUAGGUGUCGGGGGAAUCGACCCCUUCGGUGUCGUAGCUAACGCGUUAAGUGUUCCGCCUGGGGAGUACGCACGCAAGUGUGAAACUCAAAGGAAUUGACGGGGGCCCGCACAAGCGGUGGAGUAUGUGGUUUAAUUCGAUGCAACGCGAAGAACCUUACCAGGGUUUGACAUCCUGCGAACCUCUUAGAAAUUUGAGGGUGCCUUCGGGAAUGCAGUGACAGGUGGUGCAUGGCUGUCGUCAGCUCGUGUCGUGAGAUGUUGGGUUAAGUCCCGCAACGAGCGCAACCCACGUUUUUAGUUGCCAGCAUUUAGUUGGGCACUCUAGAAAGACCGCCGGUGAUAAACCGGAGGAAGGUGUGGAUGACGUCAAGUCAUCAUGCCCCUUACACCCUGGGCUACACACGUACUACAAUGCUACGGACAAAGGGCAGCAAACUCGCGAGAGCUAGCAAAUCCCAUAAACCGUGGCUCAGUUCAGAUCGUAGGCUGCAACUCGCCUACGUGAAGUAGGAAUCGCUAGUAAUCGCAGGUCAGCAUACUGCGGUGAAUACGUUCCCGGGCCUUGUACACACCGCCCGUCACACCAUGGAUAGUUGGCCAUGCCCGAAGUCGUUACUCCAAC